Molecule: ribosomal RNA, 441 nt
Filed under: uncultured bacterium
Lineage: Bacteria
Description: partial 16S ribosomal RNA
Rfam family: Bacterial small subunit ribosomal RNA
Source: RNAcentral
CCUACGGGAGGCUGCAGUGGGGGAUAUUGCACAAUGGGGGGAACCCUGAUGCAGCGACGCCGCGUGGGUGAAGGAGUGCUUCGGCAUGUAAAGCCCUAUCGGCAGGGAAGAAGCAAGACGGUACCUGACUAAGAAGCCCCGGCUAACUACGUGCCAGCCGCCGCGGUAAGUCGUAGGGGGCGAGCGUUAUCCGGAUUCACUGGGGGUAAAGGGAGCGUAGACGGGCAAGCAAGCCAGGGGGGAAAGCCCGGGGCCCAACCCCGGGACAGCCCUUGGAACUGCAUGGCUGGAGUGCGGGAGGGGCAGGCGGAAUGCCUGGUGUAGCGGUGAAAUGCGUAGAUAUCGGGAGGAACACCGGCGGCGAAGGCAGCCUGCUGGCGCGCGACUGACGUUGAGGCUCGAAAGCGUGGGGAGCGAACAGGAUUAGAUACCCUUGUAGUC